Molecule: non-coding RNA, 283 nt
Organism: Pelobates cultripes (western spadefoot toad)
Lineage: Eukaryota; Metazoa; Chordata; Amphibia; Anura; Pelobatidae
Source: the annotation of a GenBank genome assembly
GUGUGUGUUAUUCCCUCAUUAUCCCAUUUACAAGGAGCAGAUAAAAGGUCCAGAGUUCAUUUCAAGUGUGCUAUUUGCAUUUGGAAUCUGUUGCUGUCAACUCUCAAUAUGAGAUCUAAAGAGCUGUCACUAUCGGUGAAACAAGCCAUCAUUAGGCUGAAAGAAACAAAACAAACCCAUCAGAGAGAUAGCAAAAACAUUAGGUGUGGCCAAAUCAACUGUUUGGAACAUCCUUAAAAAGAAAAAACUCACCGGUGAGCUCAGCAACACCAACAGACCCGGA